UGUGCUUUAUAGUCACGGGUUGUACUUUAUGUAGAAGAAUAUUAUGUGAAUAUUUACUCAUCCUAAAAUAUUAAAAAUAAGUUUGAUAUUUGUGCCAAAGCUGUUUGUACAGAUAGUGUGUUGUGGGUUUGUAAUGCGCAUUAUUUUGACUGCCCCAUGCCUCAAAGUGAGGUUAUACUCAUUAUUUCAGUUAAUUCGACAUAGCGUCGCUUAUGAAGAAGACAUAGAAGGCUAAAAAACAAAGUUAUCUUCCUCGAGAGUUGUCUAUCUUUGCGGCCUACAGCUUUUUACAGAGUGUGACAAAAUUCCUAACAUCUGUGGAAGGCAGAACAUGGGUAUAAUCAAAAUGGAAAAUGAUGUUGAUGUUGUAAGUGAAAAAGAUCCCACUCGCAUGGUAUCUGAUGAGGUUAAUAUACAAUCAGCGCUUUCCAUAAGGACAGUUGAAACUGAGAUCAUGGAUAUGAAGGUUGAGGAUUUCGCAGGUUCACAAGAAGAGGAGGAUCCUGUAGCAAAUCUUCCAUUAAUAAAGUCAGAACUUGAGGUGAGUUUCACAUUUU
Non-coding RNA from Zootermopsis nevadensis, 557 nucleotides. The record is from RefSeq and is a predicted model, not a curated record. NCBI's taxonomy places the organism in Eukaryota, Metazoa, Arthropoda, Insecta, Blattodea, Termopsidae.